RNAcentral lists this long non-coding RNA (580 nucleotides) under Musa acuminata (dwarf banana). Its description in RNAcentral is "long non-coding RNA (MACU_LNC001315)". Lineage: Eukaryota; Viridiplantae; Streptophyta; Magnoliopsida; Zingiberales; Musaceae. The record is from RNAcentral.
ACUCCUAAUAGGACUCCUACUCAAGACUCAUAUUCCCUUACAACUCCUAGUUCUUCUAUAAGAAAAAACUUCCUACAUGAAUGCCCCUCUCAAUUAGGACUCUCCUAGCUAGAGUCCUAACAGAAUGUCCCUCUCAAUUAGGACUCUCCUAGCUAGAGUCCUAAUAGUUUUACAUGAAUGUCCCUCUAAAUUAGGACUCUCCAAGCUAGAGUCCUAACAGACCCGCCCUCUUCAAAUCAGCCUUGUCCUCGAGGCUGAUGAUUCGUGAAUUUUGGGAAUUUGAUCUUCAAGUCGUCAUAGUUCUCCCAAGUGGCAUCUUCUAUUGGUAGGUUCGCCCACUGUAUUAGCACUUCAUUAGUGGGUCGUCGUCGUCGAGUCACGAUCCGUCGAUCAAUAAUGGCACUUGGCUGGGUCUGGAGUUCUCUUUGGGUAGUCAUAUUUGUUGGGUGGCUUUAGGCUGUCUCCAAGCACCUAUUUAAAACUUCCGUCUGGCUGUUGGUUUGUGGGUGAUAUGUCGUACUCCUUUUUCAAUUUAGUACCCUGCAUAUGGAAUAACUUUGUCCAAAAUCUGCCCUUGAAG